Molecule: ribosomal RNA, 361 nt
Filed under: uncultured bacterium
Lineage: Bacteria
Description: bacterial SSU rRNA
Rfam family: Bacterial small subunit ribosomal RNA
Source: RNAcentral
AACGAACGCUGGCGGCAUGCCUAACACAUGCAAGUCGAGCGAGACCUUCGGGUCUAGUGGCGCACGGGUGCGUAACGCGUGGGAAUCUGCCCUUGGGUUCGGAAUAACAGCGAGAAAUUGCUGCUAAUACCGGAUGAUGACGUAAGUCCAAAGAUUUAUCGCCCAAGGAUGAGCCCGCGUAGGAUUAGCUAGUUGGUGAGGUAAAGGCUCACCAAGGCGACGAUCCUUAGCUGGUCUGAGAGGAUGAUCAGCCACACUGGGACUGAGACACGGCCCAGACUCCUACGGGAGGCAGCAGUGGGGGAAUAUUGGACAAUGGGCGAAAGCCUGAUCCAGCAAUGCCGCGUGAGUGAUGAAGGCC